Long non-coding RNA from Daphnia pulicaria, 322 nucleotides. RefSeq lists it as uncharacterized. The record is from RefSeq and is a predicted model, not a curated record. The transcript is spliced from 3 exons. Lineage: Eukaryota; Metazoa; Arthropoda; Branchiopoda; Diplostraca; Daphniidae.
UCGUUUUUUUUCGUGCUGGUGAAUGGUAAAUUCUGUAUGCUGUCAUAUUUCUAAAUUUUGACAAUAAUGCUUUCUUCUUUUUGUUUGACUUAUUGUAGGUGAACAGCAACCCGUUGGAUUGGAUUAUCCAUCGAUGAUGGACGACUUGGCUCUUCCUCACCUGUCCUUGUAUUCCUCUCGUCCUCGUGUAGCCUACAUCCAUGAGAUGUCCAAUUGCCCAGUGAUACUUGCCCUUCAUCCUCCAAGACAGGCAUAUUUUGAUCAAACUAACAGACUAUCGAUUGAUUCUUUUUCGACAUUUUUAUUUUUCAGACCUGGAAAG